GUGUAAGUAUGAACUAAUUCAGACUGUGAAACUGCGAAUGGCUCAUUAAAUCAAUUAUAGUUUGUUUGAUGGUAUCUACUACUCGGAUAAUCGUAGUAAUUCUAGAGCUAAUACGUGCAACAAAUCUCGACUUCUAGAAGGGAUGCAUUUAUUAGAUAAAAGGUCGACACAGGCUCUGCCUGUUGCUUUGAUGAUUUAUGAUAACUCGUCGAAUCGAACGGCCUUCGUGCCGGCAACGCAUCAUUCAAAUUUCUGCCCUAUCAACUUUCAAUGGUAGGAUAGUGGCCUACCAUGGUGGUGAAGGGUGACGGAGAAUUAGGGUUCGAUUCCAGAGAGGGAGCCUGAGAAACGGCUACCACAUCCAANNNNN
This 370-nucleotide non-coding RNA is filed under the name Lupinus angustifolius (narrow-leaved blue lupine). RNAcentral's name for it is "rRNA SSU_rRNA_eukarya". It matches the Rfam family "Eukaryotic small subunit ribosomal RNA", at positions 57 to 424 of the family's 1831-position model. Lineage: Eukaryota; Viridiplantae; Streptophyta; Magnoliopsida; Fabales; Fabaceae. The record is from Rfam by way of RNAcentral.